GCUAAAUAGCCUAAAUGGUAUUACUGUUUAAAAAAAACAACUCCCUUUGCUUGUUUUUGUUAUUCUCAAAUCCCAAUCGAUUGUUUCUACUCUGGAAUGUUAUUUUUCAUAGGGAUUUUUUUUGUUAGAACUUUGUUACUUGGUUAAUAUUGGUUUACUUCGGCUACUUAUGAUCACUAUUUGCCGUACAGGUCACAACAAUUGAUGGAAUCUAACGAAUUAGUUGAUGAAUAAGGUUUGGUUGUCCUAUCUUUUUAACUUGUUCAACUCACACCUUCUAUAUACCUUCCCUCAUGUAAUUCUAGAUGUAAAAGGUUGAUGCCAUGUCAGUGAUGGGGUUUCUGUAUCAAAUAAAUCAUGAGAUUGUAUAUGUAAGAAUAAGACAUCAUAUUACAACAAUCUGAUGUGGAUGCAAAUGAGUCGGAUGAACUUGCCGUUUUGGAAGCAAGAUCUGUCAUCUUAUGCACUUUAUUAUUGGUAUUUGAUAAUCGACUGAUAUAGAUAUCAUUCGUUUUCGCAUUAUUUCAAGUUUUUGCUAUUGAUUUCAAAAUAGUAGAAGCAUAAUAAAAAUUUCGGAAGCAAAAACAGUUACAAAAC
RNAcentral lists this long non-coding RNA (597 nucleotides) under Panax ginseng (ginseng). Its description in RNAcentral is "long non-coding RNA (PGIN_LNC010591)". The record is from RNAcentral. Lineage: Eukaryota; Viridiplantae; Streptophyta; Magnoliopsida; Apiales; Araliaceae.